RNAcentral lists this long non-coding RNA (237 nucleotides) under Elaeis guineensis (African oil palm). Its description in RNAcentral is "long non-coding RNA (EGUI_LNC012879)". The record is from RNAcentral. Lineage: Eukaryota; Viridiplantae; Streptophyta; Magnoliopsida; Arecales; Arecaceae.
CUUCCUCGAUUUAGACUCUGCUGAGGGGAUCGAGGAGGGAUUUGAGAGGGUGGUAGCUGCACUUGUCCAAGCUACUGAAUAGCACCGACUGCCAUCGUCAAUGCUCGGACCUGAUCAACCAGUAAGGCAAACUGGUCUUGAGUAACACCUUGGGCCGGCUGCAUUGGUAGCGAAGGGACCAGUUGUUGUGGUAUUGGUGCAUUAUUUUCUCCGACACCAGUGGUGGUUCGAGAGGCA